UGCAAGUCGAACGGGAACCCUUGGAUUCGUCUGAGGGGGAGAGUGGCGAACGGGUGAGUAACACGUAGGUGACCUGCCCCGGAGAGGGGGAUAACCACUGGAAACGGUGGCUAAUACCCCAUGUGCUCGAUGGUUCGUUCCAUCGAGUAAACGCGCCUCUAACGAGGAUAGUGCUCUGGGAGGGGCCUGCGGCCCAUCAGGUAGUUGGUAGGGUAAUGGCCUACCAAGCCGAUGACGGGUAGGGGGCGUGAGAGCGCGAUCCCCCACACUGGCACUGAGAUACGGGCCAGACUCCUACGGGUGGCAGCAGUGAGGAAUAUUGCCCAAUGGACGAAAGUCUGAGGCAGCAACGCCGCGUGCGCGAUGAAGGCCUUCGGGUUGUAAAGCGCUUUUCUGGGGGAAGAGCAAGGACAGUACCUCAGGAAUAAGUCACGGCUAACUACGUGCCAGCAGCCGCGGUAAUACGUAGGUGGCAAGCGUUAUCCGGAUUUACUGGGCGUAAAGCGCGUGCAGGCGGUUCCGUAAGUCGGACGUGAAAGCUCCUGGCUUAACUGGGAGAGGCCGUUCGAUACUGCGGGACUUGAGGUUGGGAGAGGGACGUGGAAUUCCCGGUGUAGUGGUGGAAUGCGUAGAUAUCGGGAGGAACACCAGUGGCGAAGGCGGCGUCCUGGCCCACACCUGACGCUGAGACGCGAAAGCGUGGGUAGCGAACGGGAUUAGAUACCCCGGUAGUCCACGCCGUAAACGGUGGAUACUAGGUGUUGGUGGCUAUCGUCAUCAGUGCCGUAGCUAACGCGUUAAGU
This 803-nucleotide ribosomal RNA is filed under the name uncultured bacterium. Its description in RNAcentral is "bacterial SSU rRNA". It matches the Rfam family "Bacterial small subunit ribosomal RNA", at positions 56 to 865 of the family's 1533-position model. The record is from RNAcentral.